AGCUUUGCGCAGUGGCAGUAUCGUAGCCAAUGAGGUUUGUCCGAGGCGCGAUUACUGCUAAUAGAAGCUGGAAUAAUAUGAAUAUAUUGGGUUAAAAUAUAUUUUCAAUGUUACCUGUUCUAGCUUUAAA
This 130-nucleotide small nuclear RNA is filed under the name Tupaia belangeri chinensis (Chinese tree shrew). RNAcentral's name for it is "Tupaia chinensis (Chinese tree shrew) U4 spliceosomal RNA". It matches the Rfam family "U4 spliceosomal RNA". From Rfam's summary of the family: U4 small nuclear RNA (U4 snRNA) is a component of the major U2-dependent spliceosome. The structure of U4 snRNA from yeast and human has been reported. Lineage: Eukaryota; Metazoa; Chordata; Mammalia; Scandentia; Tupaiidae. The record is from Rfam by way of RNAcentral.